GAUGAACGCUGGCGGCGUGCCUAAUACAUGCAAGUCGAGCGAACAGACGAGGAGCUUGCUCCUCUGACGUUAGCGGCGGACGGGUGAGUAACACGUGGAUAACCUACCUAUAAGACUGGGAUAACUUCGGGAAACCGGAGCUAAUACCGGAUAAUAUCUUGAACCGCAUGGUUCAAUAGUGAAAGACGGUUUUGCUGUCACUUAUAGAUGGAUCCGCGCCGCAUUAGCUAGUUGGUAAGGUAACGGCUUACCAAGGCGACGAUGCGUAGCCGACCGGAGAGGCUGGUCGGCCACCCUGGAACGGAGACACGGUCCAGGCUCCUACGGGAGGCAGCAGUAGGGAAUCUUCCGCAAUGGGCGAAAGUCUGACGGAGCAACGGCGCGUGAGUGGUGAAGGUCUUCGGAUCGUAAAACUCUGUUAUUAGGGAAGAACAAAUGUGUAAGUAACUAUGCACGUAUUGACGGUACCUAAUCAGAAAGCCACGGCUAACUACGUG
Molecule: ribosomal RNA, 497 nt
Filed under: uncultured bacterium
Lineage: Bacteria
Description: partial 16S ribosomal RNA
Rfam family: Bacterial small subunit ribosomal RNA
Source: RNAcentral